Molecule: ribosomal RNA, 504 nt
Filed under: uncultured bacterium
Lineage: Bacteria
Description: partial 16S ribosomal RNA
Rfam family: Bacterial small subunit ribosomal RNA
Source: RNAcentral
GAUAAACGCUAGCGGCAGGCUUAACACAUGCAAGUCGAGGGGCAGCAUAGAUUGUAGCAAUACAAUUGGUGGCGACCGGCGCACGGGUGCGUAACGCGUAUGCAACCUACCCGUCACAGGGGGAUAAUCCGGAGAAAUCUGGUCUAAUACCCCAUAACAUAUGGAUCGGCAUCGGUUCAUGUUGAAAUUUUCGGAGGUGACGGAUGGGCAUGCGUAGCAUUAGCUUGUUGGUGAGGUAACGGCUCACCAAGGCGACGAUGCUUAGGGGGACUGAGAGGUUUUUCCCCCACACUGGUACUGAGGCACGGACCGGACUCCUACGGGAGGCAGCAGUGAGGAAUAUUGGUCAAUGGGCGCAAGCCUGAACCAGCCAUGCCGCGUGCAGGAUGACGGCUCUAUGAGUUGUAAACUGCUUUUGUACGAGGGUAAAGUGGGUUACGUGUAACCUUUUGAAAGUAUCGUACGAAUAAGGAUCGGCUAACUCCGUGCCAGCCGCCGCCGUAA